UCACACAAGGACAGCCACUGAAGAACAC
Molecule: non-coding RNA, 28 nt
Filed under: Mus musculus (house mouse)
Lineage: Eukaryota; Metazoa; Chordata; Mammalia; Rodentia; Muridae
Source: RNAcentral